CCCCGCCAGAAAAUCCUCUAUUCACCGCCAAAAAAACCCCCAACUAGCAACAAUACAUCACCUAAUACCUCUAACCACACUCUGAAUGCAUGGUUAAGCCGUGCCGUAUCACUUCGAAUGCAUGAUUAAUCCGUGCCGUAUCACUUCGAAUGCAUGAUUAAUCCGUGCCGUAUCGGAUUCUUAAUAGGAACCUGUCCCCCUAGUUUCUCGAAUUUCUCUACAGAUGAAGACGAAUUCGAAGAAACCGAUGGCAG
RNAcentral lists this long non-coding RNA (254 nucleotides) under Populus trichocarpa (black cottonwood). RNAcentral describes it as "long non-coding RNA (PTRI_LNC000646)". Lineage: Eukaryota; Viridiplantae; Streptophyta; Magnoliopsida; Malpighiales; Salicaceae. The record is from RNAcentral.